GAUGAACGCUGGCGGCGUGCCUAAUACAUGCAAGUCGAGCGAACGGACGAGAAGCUUGCUUCUCUGAUGUUAGCGGCGGACGGGUGAGUAACACGUGGAUAACCUACCUAUAAGACUGGGAUAACUUCGGGAAACCGGAGCUAAUACCGGAUGAUAUUUUGAACCGCAUGGUUCAAAAGUGAAAGACGGUCUUGCUGUCACUUAUAGAUGGAUCCGCGCUGCAUUAGCUAGUUGGUAAGGUAACGGCUUACCAGGGCAACGAUGCAUAGCCGACCUGAGAGGGUGAUCGGCCACACUGGAACUGAGACACGGUCCAGACUCCUACGGGAGGCAGCAGUAGGGAAUCUUCCACAAUGGGCGAAAGCCUGACGGAGCAACGCCGCGUGAGUGAUGAAGGUCUUCGGAUCGUAAAACUCUGUUAUUAGGGAAGAACAUAUGUGUAAGUAACUGUGCACAUCUUGACGGUACCUAAUCAGAAAGCCACGGCUAACUACGUG
Molecule: ribosomal RNA, 497 nt
Filed under: uncultured bacterium
Lineage: Bacteria
Description: partial 16S ribosomal RNA
Rfam family: Bacterial small subunit ribosomal RNA
Source: RNAcentral